GGAUUAACCCAGUAUGAAAAUCACCAGCUUGCUGGUGAAUUGUAGUCUGCAGUGGCAACUCCUGGGUGGCGUGCGGCCAAAGCAUCUUGGAACAGAUCGCCUUAGAGGGUGAGAGUCCCGUAGGCCAAGCAAAGCCCUUCACGGAGUGCUCACGGAGAGUCGGGUUGUUUGGGAAUGCAGCCCCAAUUGGGUGGUAAACCCCAUCUAAGGCUAAAUACCGGUGG
This 224-nucleotide ribosomal RNA is filed under the name Valonia aegagropila. Its description in RNAcentral is "partial large subunit ribosomal RNA". It matches the Rfam family "Eukaryotic large subunit ribosomal RNA", at positions 101 to 329 of the family's 3401-position model. Lineage: Eukaryota; Viridiplantae; Chlorophyta; Ulvophyceae; Cladophorales; Valoniaceae. The record is from RNAcentral.